RNAcentral lists this ribosomal RNA (532 nucleotides) under uncultured bacterium. Its description in RNAcentral is "partial 16S ribosomal RNA". It matches the Rfam family "Bacterial small subunit ribosomal RNA", at positions 355 to 883 of the family's 1533-position model. The record is from RNAcentral.
UGGGGAAUUUUGGACAAUGGGCGAAAGCCUGAUCCAGCAAUGCCGCGUGUGUGAAGAAGGCCUUCGGGUUGUAAAGCACUUUUGUCCGGAAAGAAAUCCUUGGCUCUAAUACAGUCGAGGGAUGACGGUACCGGAAGAAUAAGCACCGGCUAACUACGUGCCAGCAGCCGCGGUAAUACGUAGGGUGCAAGCGUUAAUCGGAAUUACUGGGCGUAAGCGUGCGCAGGCGGUUUGCUAAGACCGAUGUGAAAUCCCCGGGCUCAACCUGGGAACUGCAUUGGGUGACUGGCAGGCUAGAGUAUGGCAGAGGGGGGUAGAAUUCCACGUGUAGCAGUGAAAUGCGUAGAGAUGUGGAGGAAUACCGAUGGCGAAGGCAGCCCCCUGGGCCAAUACUGACGCUCAUGCACGAAAGCGUGGGAGCAAACAGGAUUAGAUACCCUGGUAGUCCACGCCCUAAACGAUGUCAACUAGUUGUUGGGGAUUCAUUUCUAGUAACGUAGCUAACGCGUGAAGUUGACCGCCUGGGGAGUAC